RNAcentral lists this ribosomal RNA (506 nucleotides) under uncultured bacterium. RNAcentral describes it as "partial 16S ribosomal RNA". It matches the Rfam family "Bacterial small subunit ribosomal RNA", at positions 28 to 523 of the family's 1533-position model. The record is from RNAcentral.
GGUUAAUGCUAGCGGUGCGCCUAACACAUGCAAGUCGAGGGGUAACGAGAGGAAAGCUUGCUUUCCUUGUCGACGACCGGCGCACGGGUGAGUAACGCGUAUCCAACCUGCCCCCAACUAAGGAAUAACCCUGCGAAAGUAAGACUAAUACCUUAUAAUUUCCUCAGAUGCCAUCUGACGAGGAAUAAAGAUUUAUCGGUUGUGGAUGGGGAUGCGUCUGAUUAGCUUGUUGGCGGGGUAACGGCCUACCAAGGCAACGAUCAGUAGGGGUUCUGAGAGGAAGGUCCCCCACAUUGGGACUGAGACACGGUCCAAACUCCUACGGGAGGCAGCAGUGAGGAAUAUUGGUCAAUGGGCGAAAGCCUGAACCAGCCAAGUAGCGUGCAGGAUGACGGCCCUAUGGGUUGUAAACUGCUUUUAUACAGGAAUAAAGUUAGCCACGUGUGGUUAUUUGUAGGUACUGUAUGAAUAAGGACCGGCUAAUUCCGUGCCAGCCGCCGCGGUAA